RNAcentral lists this ribosomal RNA (253 nucleotides) under uncultured bacterium. RNAcentral describes it as "partial 16S ribosomal RNA". It matches the Rfam family "Bacterial small subunit ribosomal RNA", at positions 524 to 776 of the family's 1533-position model. The record is from RNAcentral.
UACGAAGGGGGCUAGCGUUGUUCGGAAUCACUGGGCGUAAAGCGCGCGUAGGUGGCUUCGUAAGUCCGUUGUGAAAGUCAAAGGCUCAACCUUUGAAAGCCGAUGGAUACUGCGGAGCUAGAGUACGGAAGAGGCGAGUGGAAUUCCUGGUGUAGCGGUGGAAUGCGCAGAUAUCAGGAGGAACACCAAUAGCGAAGGCAGCUCGCUGGGACGUUACUGACACUGAGGCGCGAAAGCGUGGGGAGCGAACAGG